Molecule: non-coding RNA, 73 nt
Organism: Stegodyphus mimosarum
Lineage: Eukaryota; Metazoa; Arthropoda; Arachnida; Araneae; Eresidae
Source: Rfam
GCCUUCGUGGUGUAGUGGUCUGCUUGCUCGACGCGUAACCGAGAGGUCCGUGGUUCGAUUCCCGGCGAAGGCG